This 99-nucleotide ribosomal RNA is filed under the name uncultured bacterium. Its description in RNAcentral is "partial 16S ribosomal RNA". It matches the Rfam family "Bacterial small subunit ribosomal RNA", at positions 1384 to 1482 of the family's 1533-position model. The record is from RNAcentral.
UACACACCGCCCGUCAAGCCACCUGAGUUGGGAGCACCCGAAGUCGAUUAUCUAACCGCAAGGAGGAAGUCGCCUAAGGUGAGACCAGUGAGGAGGGCU